Molecule: ribosomal RNA, 345 nt
Filed under: uncultured bacterium
Lineage: Bacteria
Description: bacterial SSU rRNA
Rfam family: Bacterial small subunit ribosomal RNA
Source: RNAcentral
AGAGUUUGAUCCUGGCUCAGAUUGAACGCUGGCGGCAUGCUUUACACAUGCAAGUCGAACGGCAGCACAGGGAGCUUGCUCCCGGGUGGCGAGUGGCGCACGGGUGAGUAAUACAUCGGAACGUGUCCUGUUGUGGGGAGUAACUGCUCGAAAGGGUGGCUAAUACCGCAUGAGACCUGAGGGUGAAAGCGGGGAUCGCAAGACCUCGACGCAAUUGGAGCGGCCGAUGCCCGAUUAGCUAGUUGGUGAGGUAAAGGCUCACCAAGGCGACGAUCGGUAGCUGGUCUGAGAGGACGACCAGCCACACUGGGACUGGAGACACGGCCAGACCUCCUACGGGAGGCA